RNAcentral lists this ribosomal RNA (1454 nucleotides) under uncultured prokaryote. Its description in RNAcentral is "partial 16S ribosomal RNA". It matches the Rfam family "Bacterial small subunit ribosomal RNA". The record is from RNAcentral.
CCUGGCUCAGAUUGAACGCUGGCGGCAUGGCUAAAACAUGCAAGUCGAACGAGAAAGCACUUCGGUGUGAGUACAGUGGCGAAAGGGCGAGGAAUAAGUACCUAACGUGCCUUCAGGUAAGGGAUAGCUCAUGGAAACGUGUGGUAAUACCUUAUAAUCUCAACAUUUCAUAUGAUUUGUUGAGCAAAGGCUUGCUGCCUGAAGAUCGGGGUACUCCCUAUCAGCUUGUUGGUAAGGUAAUGGCUUACCAAGGCUAAGACGGGUAGCGGGUGUGAGAGCAUGACCCGCCGCAUCGGGACUGAGACACUGCCCGGACUCCUACGGGAGGCUGCAGUAACGAAUAUUCCGCAAUGCGCGAAAGCGUGACGGAGCAAUGCCGCGUGUGGGAUGAAGCAUCUAGGUGUGUAAACCACUGUCAGGGUUUAGGAAACAAAUGACCAGACCCAAAGGAAGAGCCGGCUAACUCUGUGCCAGCAGCCGCGGUAAUACAGAGGGCUCAAGCGUUAAUCGGAAUCACUGGGCUUAAAGGGUCCGCAGGCGGAUCGGUAAGUAUCUUGUGAAAUACCAUAGCUCAACUAUGGAAUUGCUCGGUAAACUGCCAAUCUUGAACACAGUAGGGGCCAUCGGAACUCUAGGUGGAGCGGUGAAAUGCGUAGAUAUCUAGAGGAACGCCAAAGGCGAAGGCAGAUUGCUGGGCCGAUUCUGACGCUCAGGUACGAAAGCGUGGGUAGCGAACGGGAUUAGAUACCCCGGUAGUCCACGCCCUAAACGAUGUGCACUAGGUCGUGGUGGGUCUGACCCCUUCUCGGCCGAAGCGAAAGUGUUAAGUGCGCCGCCUGGGGAGUACGGCCGCAAGGCUAAAACUCAAAGGAAUUGACGGGGGCUCACACAAGCGGUGGAGCAUGUGGCUUAAUUCGAAGCAACGCGACCUUACCCGGGUUUGACAUGCUUGGAUGCCUCUUGGGGAUAACUCAGGUAGGCUGUCCUUCGGGGUGAAACUUGCACAGGUGUUGCAUGGCUGUCGUCAGCUCGUGCUGUGAAGUGUCGGGGUUAGUCCCUUAACGAGCGAAACCCCUAUCGCUAGUUGCCAGCGGGUAAUGUCGGGGAAUCUAGCGAGACUGCCGGCGUCAAGCCGGAGGAAGGUGGGGACGACGUCAAGUCAUCAUGGCCCUUAUGCCCGGGGUUGCACACGUGCUACAAUGGCGCGCACAGAGGGAAGCAAGACCGCGAGGUGGAGCAAACCCCAAAAAACGUGCCUCAGUUCGGAUUGGAGUCUGAAAUUCGACUCCAUGAAGUUGGAAUCGCUAGUAAUCGCGUAUCAGCUACGACGCGGUGAAUAUGUUCCUGAGCCUUGUACACACCGCCCGUCAAGUCAUGGAAGCUGGUAGCACCCGAAGUCCGCUUAGUCAACCUUCACGGGAGACGGCGGCCGACGGUGAGACUGGACUGUAACA